AUGGACGGAUGGAUGGAUGAUUUAAGACUGAGGCUGACUGUGGAAUUUGGGUUAAAAACUUGUAUUCCAAUGAAGUUUUCAAAAACAGGAAAAAAGGAACAGCUUGGUGCAGUGGCUGAAGUGGAGCUGCUAAUUCGCCGCAGUGACAGCAAAGGCAAGCUGAAAGGGGAAGAAUCAUUUCUAUUUGCCUUCAGAAUGCUGAGACUCCAAUAAAAAAAGCGUAAGAAAUAUUGGGCAAAAUAGAGAUCUGCACAUACAUAUUAAUUCA
RNAcentral lists this long non-coding RNA (268 nucleotides) under Anser brachyrhynchus (Pink-footed goose). RNAcentral describes it as "lncRNA (ENSABRG00000008272.1)". Lineage: Eukaryota; Metazoa; Chordata; Aves; Anseriformes; Anatidae. The record is from RNAcentral.